Molecule: ribosomal RNA, 1904 nt
Filed under: Listeria monocytogenes
Lineage: Bacteria; Bacillati; Bacillota; Bacilli; Caryophanales; Listeriaceae
Description: bacterial LSU rRNA
Rfam family: Bacterial large subunit ribosomal RNA
Source: RNAcentral
UUGGUUAAGUUAGAAAGGGCGCACGGUGGAUGCCUUGGCACUAGGAGCCGAAGAAGGACGGGACUAACACCGAUAUGCUUUGGGGAGCUGUACGUAAGCGUUGAUCCAGAGAUUUCCGAAUGGGGGAACCCACUAUCUUUAGUCGGAUAGUAUCCUUACGUGAAUACAUAGCGUAAGGAAGGCAGACCCAGGGAACUGAAACAUCUAAGUACCUGGAGGAAGAGAAAGAAAAAUCGAUUUCCUGAGUAGCGGCGAGCGAAACGGAAAGAGCCCAAACCAAGAAGCUUGCUUCUUGGGGUUGUAGGACACUCUAUACGGAGUUACAAAAGAAAGUUAUAAAUGAAGCGGUCUGGAAAGGCCCGCCAAAGACGGUAACAGCCCGGUAGUUGAAAUGGCUUUCCCUCCAGAGUGGAUCCUGAGUACGGCGGAACACGUGAAAUUCCGUCGGAAUCCGGGAGGACCAUCUCCCAAGGCUAAAUACUCCCUAGUGACCGAUAGUGAACCAGUACCGUGAGGGAAAGGUGAAAAGCACCCCGGAAGGGGAGUGAAACAGUUCCUGAAACCGUGUGCCUACAAGUAGUUAGAGCCCGUUAAUGGGUGAUAGCGUGCCUUUUGUAGAAUGAACCGGCGAGUUACGAUUUGUUGCAAGGUUAAGCGGAAAAAGCGGAGCCGUAGCGAAAGCGAGUCUGAAUAGGGCGCAUAAGUAACAGGUCGUAGACCCGAAACCAGGUGAUCUACCCAUGUCCAGGAUGAAGGUAAGGUAAUACUUACUGGAGGUCCGAACCCACGCACGUUGAAAAGUGCGGGGAUGAGGUGUGGGUAGCGGAGAAAUUCCAAUCGAACUUGGAGAUAGCUGGUUCUCUCCGAAAUAGCUUUAGGGCUAGCCUCGAGGUAAAGAGUCAUGGAGGUAGAGCACUGUUUGGACUAGGGGCCCUUCUCGGGUUACCGAAUUCAGAUAAACUCCGAAUGCCAUGUACUUAUACUCGGGAGUCAGACUGCGAGUGAUAAGAUCCGUAGUCGAAAGGGAAACAGCCCAGACCACCAGUUAAGGUCCCCAAAUAUAUGUUAAGUGGAAAAGGAUGUGGGGUUGCUUAGACAACCAGGAUGUUGGCUUAGAAGCAGCCACCAUUGAAAGAGUGCGUAAUAGCUCACUGGUCGAGUGACCCCGCGCCGAAAAUGUACCGGGGCUAAACAUAUUACCGAAACUGUGGAUGAACCUCUUCGGAGGUUCGUGGUAGGAGAGCGUUCUAAGGGCGGUGAAGUCAGACCGGAAGGACUGGUGGAGCGCUUAGAAGUGAGAAUGCCGGUAUGAGUAGCGAAAGAAGGGUGAGAAUCCCUUCCACCGAAUAUCUAAGGUUUCCUGAGGAAGGCUCGUCCGCUCAGGGUUAGUCGGGACCUAAGCCGAGGCCGAUAGGCGUAGGCGAUGGACAACAGGUAGAGAUUCCUGUACCAGUGCUAAUUGUUUAACCGAUGGGGUGACACAGAAGGAUAGGGAAUCGCACGAAUGGAAAUGUGCGUCCAAGCAGUGAGUGUGAGAAGUAGGCAAAUCCGCUUCUCGCGAAGCAUGAGCUGUGAUGGGGAAGGAAAUUAAGUACGGAAGUUCCUGAUUUCACGCUGUCAAGAAAAGCCUCUAGGAAGAGUAGUACUGCCCGUACCGCAAACCGACACAGGUAGAUGAGGAGAGAAUCCUAAGGUGAGCGAGAGAACUCUCGUUAAGGAACUCGGCAAAAUGACCCCGUAACUUCGGGAGAAGGGGUGCUCUAUUAGGGUGCAAGCCCGAGAGAGCCGCAGUGAAUAGGCCCAGGCGACUGUUUAGCAAAAACACAGGUCUCUGCAAAACCGUAAGGUGACGUAUAGGGGCUGACGCCUGCCCGGUGCUGGAAGGUUAAGAGGAGUGCUUAGCU